Molecule: ribosomal RNA, 475 nt
Filed under: uncultured organism
Description: partial 16S ribosomal RNA
Rfam family: Bacterial small subunit ribosomal RNA
Source: RNAcentral
ACACUCCUACGGGAGGCAGCAGUGGGGAAUUUUGGACAAUGGGCGAAAGCCUGAUCCAGCAAUGCCGCGUGAGUGAAGAAGGCCUUCGGGUUGUAAAGCUCUUUUGUCAGGGAAGAAACGGUGAAAGCUAAUAUCUUUUGCUAAUGACGGUACCUGAAGAAUAAGCACCGGCUAACUACGUGCCAGCAGCCGCGGUAAUACGUAGGGUGCAAGCGUUAAUCGGAAUUACUGGGCGUAAAGCGUGCGCAGGCGGUUUUGUAAGUCUGAUGUGAAAUCCCCGGGCUCAACCUGGGAAUUGCAUUGGAGACUGCAAGGCUAGAAUCUGGCAGAGGGGGUUAGAAUUCCACGUGUAGCAGUGAAAUGCGUAGAUAUGUGGAGGAACACCGAUGGCGAAGGCAGCCCCCUGGGUCAAGAUUGACGCUCAUGCACGAAAGCGUGGGGAGCAAACAGGAUUAGAAACCCUAGUAGUCCCAUG